This 375-nucleotide unclassified non-coding RNA is filed under the name uncultured bacterium. Its description in RNAcentral is "contains 16S-23S intergenic spacer region". The record is from RNAcentral.
UCCCGCUUGCACGGGCAGUUCCGGAAGAGUGCCCGACUUUACGCUGGCAACAUCCGGUGAGGGUUGCGCUCGUUGCGGGACUUAACCCAACAUCUCACGACACGAGCUGACGACAGCCAUGCAACACCUGUCUUUGUGUCCCCGAAGGGAGGACUCACUUUCAUGAGUUUACACGCGAUGUCAAGCCUGGGUAAGGUUCUUCGGUUAGUGACGAAUUAAACCACAUGCUCCACCGCUUGUGCGGGCCCCCGUCAAUUCAUUUGAGUUUUAACCUUGCGGCCGUACUCCCCAGGCGGUCAACUUAAUGCGUUAGCUGCGCCACUAAGAGCUCAAGGCUCCCAACGGCUAGUUGACAUCGUUUACGGCGUGGACUAC